UAACACGUGAGCAACCUGCCUUUCAGAGGGGGAUAACAGUUGGAAACGACUGCUAAUACCGCAUAACGCUGCGAUGGGGCAUCCCGAUGCAGCCAAAGGAGCAAUCCGCUGAAAGAUGGGCUCGCGGCCGAUUAGCUAGUUGGUGGGGCAACGGCCCACCAAGGCGACGAUCGGUAGCCGGACUGAGAGGUUGAUCGGCCACAUUGGGACUGAGACACGGCCCAGACUCCUACGGGAGGCAGCAG
This 245-nucleotide ribosomal RNA is filed under the name uncultured bacterium. RNAcentral's name for it is "partial 16S ribosomal RNA". It matches the Rfam family "Bacterial small subunit ribosomal RNA", at positions 111 to 354 of the family's 1533-position model. The record is from RNAcentral.